GCCCAGUCCCUGUCUGGACACUGGCACUAUAUAAGCCGAGGAGGCCGGUCCGAAGGCACGCGGCCCAUGGAGGAACUGUCGGCACACAGCGAGCGAGACUCACACAUCUGUUUGCCUUGAGAGGUUUUCAACUAGCAGCGAAGACUCCCCCAUUCCUUCCUGUUUUUAGCAGUGCUUAAGAUUUCACCUCUGUUGCCAAGAUGGCUCAAACCAACCCACAACAGGCACAGUUUGGUCCC
Non-coding RNA from Anolis sagrei ordinatus, 239 nucleotides. Lineage: Eukaryota; Metazoa; Chordata; Lepidosauria; Squamata; Anolidae. The record is from RefSeq and is a predicted model, not a curated record.